AGAUAGAGAGUUUGUUUCCAAUAGACCAUCUGCUCAGAAAAGCAUACGCACCACAUUAAUAAAUGAGAAAACACCGAUAAGCCAUGCAAAAGCAACAUAAAUAAUAAGAAAAUAGUGAGAUGACCGAAAUGCAAGUAACGACGGGUAGUCAUAGAAACCUGCUACCAACAGAAAGUGAGUACGUACUAAUAGUACCGAUAUAAACAAUCUAGCCUACUUCACCUACUACCCCAAUCUUCAGCCUCCACACCUUCCUAUCAAGGGCCAUGUCCUCGAUCAGCAUACAUAAAACAAAAGGAAGUACGAUAUAUAUAUAUAUAUGAGUUAAGUUAUAUAUAUGUACUGUCAAAGUAAAAAUAAGUUGUCUUUAUAUAGCAAGUAAUGUUAUUUUAUUUUUUAAGACUACAAAAUAUAUAUAUAAAUAAUUUUUGAGUAACCUAAUAAUAUAAAGAAUUUACUACAUUAAUAUGUAUACAGUAUAACUUAAAUUUUAACAAAACAGUUCCAAACUUUUGUAGAAGACUAGUGUUCACUAUUAGUAAACCGGCAAAAUUCGUUUACAGAAUACCAAUCAAAGUCGGUCGGAUCAAUUGGAAAUUAAGUAAAUUGGUUGUAAAAGCCAAAGAAAUUAUUUUUGACAACGGAAAUAGUUGCCCCAUAACAAAAAAAUAAAAAUUUCGAUCGAUUUCGAUCGGAACUUGGUAAAUAUUUGAUUAAGACCUGGUCAUAUUUGUAUAUUAUCAACAAAAAUAAUUUUCUGUUAAUACUUUUAAAAAUUUUUAAUCGGAAUAUUUGAAAUUAUGCUUUUCCACCCAAGGCAAUUGUGUUUUAAUAUAACAAAAAUUUUAUAUAUAUAGCCAACCGGAAUAAGUUAUAAUUAAAUAUUUCUGACCGAGUCGAUCAAAAGCACAAUUUCAAAAUAAUUAAAAUAUAACCGGCCAAAGCCGGUCGAUUUUCGUCAACUGUUAUAUAAAUAGCUUUUAAAUAAAUAAUACUUAAUACUUAACUGAAUAUAUAUAUAUAUAUUAGAUCUAGUAUUAUAUUAAUACUUAAGUUGUAGAAACAACAACAUUUACAUGUGUUAUAGUAAGAUUUAAUCGAACGAUUUGUUAUACAUCUUGAUUUAUUCUUGUAAUUUUAUUUAACGUUCUCGUCUAAUAUGAUAAUGUGAAGGACUAUCAAAAAGUGUAAACAAUUACUAAACGGAAGAAUAGGAUUGAAGGAUCCAUAUGCGAAGCUUAUCCUACAAAGAAAACUGCCCAUUUUGAUUUUUACUACUUUGACAGUCAUGUACCAUGUGCUAUAAAUAAGCUCAAUCGGCGCAAUGUUGUGAUUAAUAUUGAUCAAACAUAUCUACCAUUGUCCAUAGAUAAUCAGCCAGGCUGAGGUUCUAAAGAUCGAACAAAAAAGGGGCCUAAGUAGUAUGGAGUAGAGAUCAGCUUCAAAUUAUGUGUUGCUAAAUUGCCGGGAAGUUCAACCCUUUCUUAAUUAAGUAUCGAAGUAAGAUUAAUUUAUAUGGAAUAUUAUUUAAUUUGGUUGAUUCAACUAACAAAAUAAUUUUCAAUACAUCACUCAGUGCCUUCAUGAGUCAGUUUGGCCAUGGUAUUGUAUAUUCUACAUUUGAGCCAUGGUGUAAAGAGUGUGUAAAUGCAUCUUACAUACUUUCUAACAUGUGAAUAUAUACACUUGUGAAUAUACUUUCUCACUUGUGAUUUAUUUAACACUACAUAUAGGUCAAUAAUCCAAACAACGAUAUUAAUUAAUUUUUGAAAGACAUCUCUUGGGUACUUGUACCUACGAUUAUGACUAUGUCUAAGUAUUGUGGGAAUGGUUACAAAUUUCAUAUUGUGAAAGGCUCCAAGUAUAAGAAAAGCAAUAACAAUGGGGUGUAUGUCAAAGGUGAUGAAGGCAACCAGGAUGGGGAAAAUAAUUAUUAUAGUGUAAUCAAAGAGAUUCUAGAAUUGUCAUAUUUAGAUUGGCUAAAUAAGAAGAUCAUACUUCUCCGAUGCAAGUGGUUUGACCCAACAACUAGAAGAGGUACAAAUGUGCACUCAUAACCUAACAUAAUUGAGGUUAAUAAAAAGAGGAAGUAUGAUCGCUAUGAUUCUUUUAUAAUUGCAGAAAAAGUUAGGCAAGUAUACUAUGCUCCAUAUCCAUUAUGGAGGGAUAAGGAUGAUUGAUUGGUUGUAGUCAAAACAAAGCAUGUUGGUAGGGUAGAAGUUGAGAACGUGUUCGGUAUUGCUUACCAAAACGAUACCUCAAAUGUUAACCAAAUGGUGGAUGAUUAGUUAGAAAAUGACUCCUCAAUGCAUAUUAAAAGAAGUUGAUAUGGAGGAAAUAACAAUCAUAGAAAAUGAAGAUGAAGAAUCACCUAAUGAAAAUGAAAUAAGUAAAUAGGAAGGAUUUUAGACGAGGAAGGAUAUGUCGAAGGCGACUAGCAUGUUAGUUUUUUCGAAGGCUCUCAACUUAUAAAGAUUUAUAUUCUCAAGUCUAGAAUUUUAUUUAAUUUAUGCAGACGACUUGUAGGGGUCGAGGUAGAUCUAGGAAGGAUAAAAGGCCUAUUAAUGAUGAUGAUGGUGUUACACCCUCGCUUCCUUCCACUCCACACUUGCAUUUCUCAGCUACUAAUGGCCGGAAAUAAUCUUCUAAGCACACAUCCAUCUACGCAUCAGACUACAUAUCAUUCACCCUCCCAUCAAUAUUAUUACUAUUCUCCACCAUAGGACAAUACCCCACUUCCUUCGUAUGAUCUUACAUGUAGUUACAUGGGUCCCUCGAGUCAGCAGUCACAGAGCCACGUUGUACGCCCGUCAUCUGCUCCAUUUGCUUCAUCAUCAACUGGAUCACAUCCAUCUAGAUUUCAGCCAGUUGGAUCACAGCAAAGGUCUAGAUCGAUGCAAGGGUGUGGAUCACAACCAUCUUCAUCGGGGACCCCAUCUCGCUCUCCAUGGAAUUCGUCUUCGAGCAUUUCUAGACUUCAUCUUCGGGAUAGUAGUGUUGAGCCAGAUGCCACCCCCUCUAUGCAUGCUUCAGUUUUAUCAGAGGAUGAUGAUCCAAAUGAAGUGCAAUAUGAUCGUUAUCAUAAAAUGAUCAUCAAGGCUGAGGGAAAUGGGUAAGAUUUAUUUAUUACUUCUUUAUUUUUGUUGAAUUAUAAUAGAUACUCUUGUUUAUUUAAUGUAACUUUUAUGUUGCGGGUUCAUGCCUAAUCAACAGGUUACAGAGAUAUUUAUUGAAAUUCUUGGCCGGUUGUAUGAUGCACCUUAUCCGACUUGGAGUGACUUUCCACCGAAGCUCAUGCAUCAAAUUUUUAACAAAGUUAAGGUUUUAAUACAAUUCUUAUCUACUUAAGCAUUAUAUCAAAAACAUUUUCAUCUAACAUUACAUACUUUAUUUUUAGAGUAAGUGUUCCUGGGAGAAUCGCUAUAAUAGUGAAAUCUAUGUAAAUUUUGUAUUCAAAUACCGUAGGAGACUAUCUGAUUCUUCUGCUUCGCUCGAAAGAAGAACAAGAAGCCUUCAUGAGUUCUACCGCAUUUAUGGGAGGAUCUGGUGAGGCUCUGGAUCACUGAGAAAUUCGAGAAGAAGAACGAACAUGGAAAGAAAGCACGAGCAUCUGAGAAGGGUGACUCCUUGCAUUGUGUGGGUGCAAGGAGCAUGGGGGCUACGAAGAGACUACUGGCAAUUCCUUAAAAUAUUUACCUCUAUUUUUAUCAAACUAUAUUUAUAUAUGAUAAUUUAGUAACACGUUUUAUUAUAUUCGUAGGGAAAAAGAUAUGGGAGGAAGAUGACUCAUGAUGAGUUCUUCAUGGAGACUAGCAUCCAGAAGAAGAAAGCACCGACAGAUCCAAUUAGAUAGGUCGAGGACUGUGAGGAGACUGCAUAUGUAAGUUUCAUAAUUACUAUAUAUAUAUUUAUAAUAUUAUAUAGUUAAUAAUUUUCUCUCUUGUAAAUAAAGGGUCGCUAUUAGAUUAAUAUGGAGGAGUACACUCAGAGCUUGUCACCGAAUGAGCAAGCGAGCGACCAUCCCUUUCAGACGAAGAGGUGCAGAGGAUGUGGUUGGAUGUUGUCGAUAGUCCUAAUAAGAGGAUAAUAUACAACCUUCCAAAGAGAUCAUUUCGGCGCUACAGGGCCGGAUUGCAAGGUAUAGGGACUUCCGCCCAAGACAAGGGAAUUGAUAGGUAGACUAUCUCGUCUACGGAAAAAAAGAUCUGAAAGGUGACAAUAGACCUUGCAGAGACAAAGGCUAGAGAACAAAAGAGAGAUGAACAAUUUCGUACCCUUUAAGUUCGGCUAGAAAAGAGGUACGAAUAAUUUAAUCUCCUUCAAGGUCAGCUGGCCAAUCUUCUUGCUAGUGAUUUUUUUCCAAUUCCCCUAUCUCGUGCCCUACCUCAUGUGCUAAUCAUUCUCGUCGUGGUCCUUCAAACUAUACCAACGAUGAAGGUUUUAGUAGUGAAAAUGGAGAUGGUGCAAUAUAAAACACCCAUUGAAUAAUGUGUAUUGCCAAACAAAUUCUUGAACUUGUCAAUAUUUAGUUGGGAAUAGUUUUGAAUAAUGAUUGUAUUGUUGAUUUGUUAUUGAACAUUUGUAUAGUUGUUGUUGUGGUUAUCAUUGUUGU
Molecule: long non-coding RNA, 4612 nt
Filed under: Nicotiana benthamiana
Lineage: Eukaryota; Viridiplantae; Streptophyta; Magnoliopsida; Solanales; Solanaceae
Description: long non-coding RNA (NBEN_LNC022972)
Source: RNAcentral